UACUGAGAGUCGGCCAGAUUUGGCCCAA
Molecule: small RNA, 28 nt
Filed under: Bombyx mori (domestic silkworm)
Lineage: Eukaryota; Metazoa; Arthropoda; Insecta; Lepidoptera; Bombycidae
Description: ovarian small RNA-6188
Source: RNAcentral